RNAcentral lists this ribosomal RNA (1022 nucleotides) under Oceanobacillus sp. MRSA176B15_13_3E. Its description in RNAcentral is "bacterial SSU rRNA". It matches the Rfam family "Bacterial small subunit ribosomal RNA", at positions 56 to 1047 of the family's 1533-position model. The record is from RNAcentral. Lineage: Bacteria; Bacillati; Bacillota; Bacilli; Caryophanales; Bacillaceae.
UGCAAGUCGAGCGCAGGAAUAAACAGAACCCUUCGGGGUGAUGUUUAUGGAAUGAGCGGCGGACGGGUGAGUAACACGUGGGCAACCUGCCUGUAAGAUCGGGAUAACUCGCGGAAACGUGAGCUAAUACCGGAUAACACUUUUCAUCUCAUGGUGAGAAGAUAAAAGACGGUUUCGGCUGUCACUUACAGAUGGGCCCGCGGCGCAUUAGCUAGUUGGUGAGGUAACGGCUCACCAAGGCGACGAUGCGUAGCCGACCUGAGAGGGUGAUCGGCCACACUGGGACUGAGACACGGCCCAGACUCCUACGGGAGGCAGCAGUAGGGAAUCUUCCGCAAUGGACGAAAGUCUGACGGAGCAACGCCGCGUGAGUGAUGAAGGUUUUCGGAUCGUAAAACUCUGUUGUUAGGGAAGAACAAGUUGGGUAGUAACUGACCCAACCUUGACGGUACCUAACCAGAAAGCCACGGCUAACUACGUGCCAGCAGCCGCGGUAAUACGUAGGUGGCAAGCGUUGUCCGGAAUUAUUGGGCGUAAAGCGCUCGCAGGCGGUCUUUUAAGUCUGAUGUGAAAGCCCACGGCUUAACCGUGGAGGGUCAUUGGAAACUGGAGGACUUGAGUACAGAAGAGGAGAGUGGAAUUCCACGUGUAGCGGUGAAAUGCGUAGAGAUGUGGAGGAACACCAGUGGCGAAGGCGACUCUCUGGUCUGUAACUGACGCUGAGGAGCGAAAGCGUGGGUAGCGAACAGGAUUAGAUACCCUGGUAGUCCACGCCGUAAACGAUGAGUGCUAGGUGUUAGGGGGUUUCCGCCCCUUAGUGCUGAAGUUAACGCAUUAAGCACUCCGCCUGGGGAGUACGGCCGCAAGGCUGAAACUCAAAAGAAUUGACGGGGGCCCGCACAAGCGGUGGAGCAUGUGGUUUAAUUCGAAGCAACGCGAAGAACCUUACCAGGUCUUGACAUCCUCUGAUACCUCUAGAGAUAGAGUUUUCCCUUCGGGGACAGAGUGACAGGUGGUGCAUG